GUGGUAUCAGCCUCCUGAGCACAGAGAGGGCAGAAAGGGGUGGAGACAAAGAGGGGCGCAGAUAGUGGGCAAAUGGGGAAGUGGCACUUCCCCUAGCUCGAGGGCAGAGGCUUGGUGUGAUGGAAUGGCACUCCUUAAACUGCUACAUAUUUUCCCUUUAAUUUGGCCAAGAACAAGUUGUCAAGUUUGUGUGAGAUAAAGGUGCACUUGGUUCGUUCUUGUCUAAUGGCCCCCGCACCCAUGGGUAUUUCUUCAGCUUCCACAGUCAUCCCGACACUAGCUGGGAAGCUCCAGCAGCCCUGGUCCUGGCCCCAGCUCUGUGGGCGCUGGCCCUCAACUUUGCCUGCACUGUGCUUUUGUGCUAUUCCCCUUGGUCCUGUUUGGGUGCAAGUCCCCCUCACGCAUUGAGUUCCUGGGCCGCUCAGGCUGCUCCUGUGUCUCCCCAGGGAACAUGAAGGUCUUGCAGGAGCCCACCUGCGUCUCCGACUACAUGAGCAUCUCUACUUGCGAGUGGAAGAUGAAUGGUCCCACCAAUUGCAGCACCGAGCUCCGCCUGUUGUACCAGCUGGUUUUUCUGCUCUCCGAGUAAAGCCCACACGUGUAUCCCUGAGAACAACGGAGGCGCGGGGUGCGUGUGCCACCUGCUCAUGGAUGACGUGGUCAGUGCGGAUAACUAUACACUGGACCUGUGGGCUGGGCAGCAGCUGCUGUGGAAGGGCUCCUUCAAGCCCAGCGAGCAUGGUGAGCAGGGCGGAGUGCGGCAGGGGUGGCUGGGUGUGUUCCCACAGCUGCCUGGGCUGAGGGUGGGGUGGGCAGGGGAGGAGGUGGGGUCAUAGCAACAGCAGGAGGAAGCCGCCUGUAUUUUCCCAAAUCUGAUGGGAUUCCUGCCCCUGCCUGGGCCUCAGUCCUCCCACCUUUGAAACGGAGCUGGUCGCAGUAGACCACCAAGCCCCCUUCAGCCCAGCUGUUUCCACCCCUGAACUUAAGUGCCCAGGAAGGCGUAUUGAGAUGAGGUGUGCUUGCUGGAAGGCAUGCCUGCUGCUGAUUGAAAACCGAACUGGGAACAUUCCUUCCAUUCUGUGUCCACUGGUCAGCUGCUGCGGCUUUGGAUGGUCUUGACCGUGGAAGGCUGACCUUCUUCUGGUACCCGGAGUCCCUGCAGGAAUCCCCCUUGAGCUUGCUGGGCUGUGGUGACAGGAGUUUAAAACAUGCGUUGUAUUCCAGUGAUGCAUGAUAUGACAUGCAUCACAGGAAUAAAAACCUGAGGUCUCAUGGAUAUGAUUGCUUCAAAGGAGACCAAGUUUUAAAACAGAUGAAUCAAAAUAAAGAAAAAUACUCAGUAAAUCAUCAUAAAGUACAGAGAUGUGGCCAAAGGUGUGAAGGAUGCAGCUGUAAAAGCUGAAGUUUGAGGCCGGGUGUGGUGGUUCAUGCCUAUAAUCCCAGCACUUUGGGAGGCCGAGCCCAGCGGAUCACCGGAGGUCAGGAGUUCGAGACCAGCCUGGACAACAUGGUAAAACCCCGUCUCUACUAAAAAUACAAAAAAUUAGUCUGGCAUGGUGGCAGGCGCCUGUAAUCCCAGCUACUUGGGAGGCUGAGGUAGGAGAAUGGCUUGAACCCAGGAGAAGGAGGUUGCAGUGAGCUUAGAUCAUGCUACUGCCCUCCAGCCUGGGCGACAGAGUGAGAUUACGUCUC
RNAcentral lists this long non-coding RNA (1692 nucleotides) under Homo sapiens (human). Its description in RNAcentral is "long non-coding RNA NONHSAT172816.1". The record is from RNAcentral. Lineage: Eukaryota; Metazoa; Chordata; Mammalia; Primates; Hominidae.